CUCACGGCCUAUCAGCUUGUUGGUGGGGUAAUGGCUCACCAAGGCGACGACGGGUAGCCGGCCUGAGAGGGUGACCGGCCACACUGGGACUGAGACACGGCCCAGACUCCUACGGGAGGCAGCAGUGGGGAAUAUUGCACAAUGGGCGAAAGCCUGAUGCAGCGACGCCGCGUGAGGGAUGACGGCCUUCGGGUUGUAAACCUCUUUCAGCACGGAAGAAGCGAAAGUGACGGUACGUGCAGAAGAAGCGCCGGCUAACUACGUGCCAGCAGCCGCGGUAAUACGUAGGGCGCAAGCGUUGUCCGGAAUUAUUGGGCGUAAAGAGCUCGUAGGCGGUUUGUCGCGUCUGCUGUGAAAGCCCGGGGCUUAACCCCGGGUGUGCAGUGGGUACGGGCAGACUUGAGUGCAGUAGGGGAGACUGGAAUUCCUGGUGUAGCGGUGAAAUGCGCAGAUAUCAGGAGGAACACCGAUGGCGAAGGCAGGUCUCUGGGCUGUUACUGACGCUGAGGAGCGAAAGCAUGGGGAGCGAACAGGAUUAGAUACCCUGGUAGUCCAUGCCGUAAACGUUGGGCACUAGGUGUGGGGAACAUUCCACGUUUUCCGCGCCGUAGCUAACGCAUUAAGUGCCCCGCCUGGGGAGUACGGCCGCAAGGCUAAAACUCAAAGGAAUUGACGGGGGCCCGCACAAGCGGCGGAGCAUGCGGAUUAAUUCGAUGCAACGCGAAGAACCUUACCAAGGCUUGACAUACACCGGACCGGGCCAGAGAUGGUCUUUCCCCCUUGUGGGGCUGGUGUACAGGUGGUGCAUGGUUGUCGUCAGCUCGUGUCGUGAGAUGUUGGGUUAAGUCCCGCAACGAGCGCAACCCUCGUUCUAUGUUGCCAGCACGUGAUGGUGGGGACUCAUAGGAGACUGCCGGGGUCAACUCGGAGGAAGGUGGGGAUGACGUCAAAUCAUCAUGCCCCUUAUGUCUUGGGCUUCACGCAUGCUACAAUGGCCAGUACAAUGGGUUGCGAUGCCGCGAGGUGGAGCUAAUCCCAAAAAGCUGGUCUCAGUUCGGAUCGUGGUCUGCAACUCGACCACGUGAAGUCGGAGUCGCUAGUAAUCGCAGAUCAGCAACGCUGCGGUGAAUACGUUCCC
Molecule: ribosomal RNA, 1138 nt
Filed under: Kocuria sp.
Lineage: Bacteria; Bacillati; Actinomycetota; Actinomycetes; Micrococcales; Micrococcaceae
Description: bacterial SSU rRNA
Rfam family: Bacterial small subunit ribosomal RNA
Source: RNAcentral